This 440-nucleotide ribosomal RNA is filed under the name uncultured Blautia sp. RNAcentral's name for it is "bacterial SSU rRNA". It matches the Rfam family "Bacterial small subunit ribosomal RNA", at positions 338 to 795 of the family's 1533-position model. Lineage: Bacteria; Bacillati; Bacillota; Clostridia; Lachnospirales; Lachnospiraceae. The record is from RNAcentral.
CCUACGGGUGGCUGCAGUGGGGAAUAUUGCACAAUGGGGGAAACCCUGAUGCAGCGACGCCGCGUGAAGGAAGAAGUAUCUCGGUAUGUAAACUUCUAUCAGCAGGGAAGAAAAUGACGGUACCUGACUAAGAAGCCCCGGCUAACUACGUGCCAGCAGCCGCGGUAAUACGUAGGGGGCAAGCGUUAUCCGGAUUUACUGGGUGUAAAGGGAGCGUAGACGGAAUAGCAAGUCUGAUGUGAAAGGCUGGGGCUUAACCCCAGGACUGCAUUGGAAACUGUUGUUCUAGAGUGCCGGAGAGGUAAGCGGAAUUCCUAGUGUAGCGGUGAAAUGCGUAGAUAUUAGGAGGAACACCAGUGGCGAAGGCGGCUUACUGGACGGUAACUGACGUUGAGGCUCGAAAGCGUGGGGAGCAAACAGGAUUAGAUACCCGGGUAGUC